Columba livia (rock pigeon) is the source of this 10217-nucleotide long non-coding RNA. RefSeq lists it as uncharacterized. Lineage: Eukaryota; Metazoa; Chordata; Aves; Columbiformes; Columbidae. The transcript is spliced from 3 exons. The record is from RefSeq and is a predicted model, not a curated record.
CAGUCCCGCUGGGGAGGGGGACGGCUGGCCGGGUCACACUCUGCCUCCGGGGCUGCCUUCGGGGUGCCGCUGUGGCAGUGCACGGUGCGGCGCUGGACGCCCCGGCCGCAGGACACCGAGCACUGGAGGAAGGGACAAAAGAUAGAUACUAAAAGUUGCAAGUUCUCCAGACAAAUCAGUGCUGCCCCACUGCUAUCCAUGAAGCUUCACUGAUUUACAUCACCUGAGGAUGUGGCUCAGAACUUUUACCCUUGAAACAUUCAAGAGGACAGAAGUGAUGUGAAAACCAGCUUCUAACCAAUUUGACAGAGGAAGAAUAUCAAAGGGUGCAAAAGGGUAUACAACACGUCUCACCUGUCCCCAAUCUCCUGCUUUCCACUUCGGACAUCUGCCCCCUCUGCAUUUCUUUUGCACAUUGGGCUUAGCAAGGUGCUUGCAAUAAUCUUCUUCUACAUGCCUCCCUUCCUUUGUCAAACAGUACACAUUGCGGUGCCUUUGGCCCCUUCCACAGGAGACAGAACACUGUAAAUAUAAAGUAACAACAGAUCAGCUUUCAUGCAGGGCCAUCUACAUGGUUAUACAUGGGCCAUGGCUACCCAGGCCAUUUUCUUUUAAUUGGACCAAAAAGCACAUCCCCAUGUCCCCAGCAGCCUAUGCAAAGCUUGAGGGGGAUACAGAAGGGCAGAAUUUAACUGCUGGAAAUACUCGCAUUUGCACUUAAUAUUGCAUGAUAUUCUCGGUCAAAGCCCCUCAAAAUGCCAAUAUCAAAAUAGAGAAAGCAGCUGACAUUCAGCAGGGAUAACAGGCUGGAUUCCUGACAUUGCUCCAGUGGUUUCAAAGGAGCAGAGUCAUCUUACAAGGAUCAAGGCAGGAGCCCUCAGUAUCUGCUUAGAAGAACUUGAAAGGGACCAUUCCCAUUUACCUUGGUACAAAGGGAGGUCAAAUGUUGGUAAAUCAGGAGAAUAAAUUGCAAUAUACACCUUCACAGAGGGAAAUAACUGCACAAAGGACAAGGCAGGAGACAAAAAAAUGCAGUCUUUCCAUGUCCUCAAUAUUUGAGCUUAUGUUUGUUUUACUGAGUUUGUGGGGUAUUUGUUUGUUUGUUUUUUUUUUGUUGUUGUUGUUUGUUUGUUUUUUACUAAACAGACUGAAACCAGGACAUGCUCAUCCUUAAGAUUUAUGCAUUUUGAAAACAACUCAGAAGGUGGCAAGAAGGCAGAGCCUGAAGAAUCAAAGCAAAAAGCAAAUCAGCAGGCAAUGAAAAUCAGCAGCAAGAAAGAAAUGUCAAAUCCUACCAAACCCGUUGUAAACUUCUAAUGUUUUCAUUCUAUUAAGUCUUUGGGCUAAAGGCCAAUACUGAUACUUUAGCAAAAAUCCAAGUGCUCCUUAGUAAGUGGUCUCCAUGCAAGUUAAUGCCAUUUCACUGGGACAGCCAAAGCUCAAGGGUAAAUUCACACACUUGAUCAGGACUCUCUCUUGCCCCACAUCCCAAGCUGGUAUAGUCAAACACAUCUUUUAUCUAAUUUAAAAAUACAUUGGAUCCACAACUUACUCUAAAGGAAGAAAAUCACAUUGUGCAACAACACAAGCAUGUUUUUGACCUGAUGUUGAUUGAUAAAUAUUUAGUCUCAUAAUUAAUAUGGUGCUAGUCAUUUCCAAAAUUAUUAUCUCCCUUCUACAAAUUGCUUAACUUUGGCAUGGAUUCUGAUUCUGACAUUUAUUUCACCAUCCCACCAUCAAACAAGCCUACAUGCAUACCUCAGUGCACCCAGAGCUUGAGGCAUAAUUUGCUCAAUUUUGUUAAUACUUAAAAGUAAUUCCCAAGAUGCUGGAAUGAAUGACUUCCAUGCCUGUCUUUAACGUAAAUCAAAGUUAGGCAGCUGUGUGUUUUUAGAUCUAAACCACCCAUUUGCUUUCAUGAACACGUGAGUGAUGAUCUCAUUUGCACUGACAGAAAAGAGAGGUAAAACAACCUUAUGUAACCAAGAGACUGAAAAUUCCUUUGCAAAGAGUCUACUUCAUAAGUGCCUUCUAAUUUGUCUCAGGUGUUUCCAACUUUUAUUCGGCACGCAGAUUUUAAUCAUAUGUUAGCCACAUGCAGAAAAUAAUUUAAUAGUGAGCUUCAUCUCAACACCAUGGGACUUAGGGAAGCAACACACCUAGCUACUGACAUCAGCCUCAUCAUUUAUUUCAGAUCCUGGAGAAACUUUACAUUUUGCUAUCAGGACUCUUUUCAUCACUGCAAACACUGCUGCCUGUUUACAGUAUCUAUUGAUAACAGUGCCAUAGAGAGGUAAGCUUUGACCUUGCCUUCUUUAAAACAUUUGAAUAGCACAGACAAAACCACUCCUUUCAUAUUUCUCUUUAUUUUUCCUGAUUGCUUUCCUAGCCCCCAUCUCCAUAGAAAAUACUUCAAAGUACCGGGCAUGGAUGGGUGGCCCUCUGUGCAACACCACCUCAUCCAAAGCUCUUUGAAGUCAACAGAAAGAUUUCUACUAUUUUAGUCACCUCUGGAUCCAGCCCUGAAGGUGUAGCCAAGGUACCGUAUUGACUUUUUUCCCUAACCAGCUUCCUAGAGUCAAGGAUCACAUGCAUUUGAGCAUGCCCAUGGUCAGCCUGUCUCUGCCUCCACUCGAGUGCUGGAAAAUGUUGCUCUGAAAUACUGUUUCCAGCCUGUGGUUGAAGCACAGCAGCAAAUAACACCCCUGGGUGAACCUGGAAGGAUAGCCAGGCACAGAGGAGGAUGCAAAAACACCAUGUUGUGUUGUUUCUUAAAAAAAAACCCGAGAUGACUGUGACACAUAAAAUAGUAGAGAAGUAUUAUUUCAAAAAUCAGCUAUGGCCAUUACACUGAAGACUCUAGUAAACCUUCCUCUUGUUAUUAUCUUUAUUAUCUCCUAAAAUCACUGCAGUCACACCUGGUGCUUUACAUGGAGAAUAAGAACGAAAGGACUUUCCUAAGAGCAUUAAGAUCAAAGCACUUGAGCAGAGAUUUAAGGGUAUUACGUUUAUUGCAUGAUUAGUUUUGUUAACAUGCCAAGAACCGGGGAUUGGCAUGCUGCUGUGUUUUUUUUCAAAUAAAUAUACUGCCCAGUUUAUAUAAAUGCAAGAAAAAAGUUUAAAUAAAUACAACAAAAAUAUUUCCAUAUCAACAGUUUCCAGAAAGGUCAGAACACGAUGCUAAAUCUCUCCUGCAAUGUAUUGCUCUGCUCCAGCGCAGCAGCAAGCCUGUGUUUUUGUUUCCACAGAAAUUUGUUUUCUAUUUCAGAGUGCAGGAAUGACGAAGGUUAUUUUACUAAGUACAUGCAAAUUGCUUUAAACUACCACUUGCUGCAUUCCCUAUUCUGAUACUUUGAAAGACGAGGGUACAUCUUGUUCAGUAAGAACUCUCAAACAUAAGAAGGCUCCUACCUGAUUCACCAGGCCGGUAGCAGAAAACAAAACAGAAUAUGUACACCAAAAGCUCUUAAAAAUGUGUAUAAAAUUUCUGGCUGGUUGGGCUGGGUUAUGACCCUCCUGCAGUGGACUGGGACCUGCUCUUCCGCACCGGGAGCUUGUGCUGCGGCUGUGCCACUGCCAUGCUGAGAGCUGGGAGCAAGGUUUGUCUGACACCGAAAGGACUCAACAACCCAGGGCACAACUUCGCAAAUCUUGAUGAAAAGAAAAAGGCAGCACAGAGCAAUCAAGAGCUACAGAGCGGCUCUGCUUCUCCUUAAUUUUCUGCCCUGAACAAGCAAGCUCAGAUAUGGGAAAGAAAAAUCAAACCACCAGCAAGAACCUGGGGACAUUAUCCCCCAAAAGUGAAAGGUUUCAGAAAAUGCUGUCAGACCACUUACCCAGCAUCAGCCAACGAUUUGGGAGGUAUUUGAGAUAAUGAAUGCAAGCUGGAGUGAUCACCAGAUGAAUUCCCAAAGAUAGGUAUGCUCCCAUAGCUCACCAAAGGCAGGGCUGGGAAGAAUUAGACUGAAAACGGCUUUAUCAGAUUCUGCCAGGAGCAACUUUUUGGAGGAAAUUAAAAGCAAUCCUUGUGGGUUUAGAUUUCCACACAUUAAAGAUUAUGUAGAAAGUAAGUGCUUGUAAGUAAGCCCUUGGUCAUCCUUUCCAACAAUCUGAGCUGAAAUGUGCUAGAUGAAAUAAAACAGAGAAACGGCAGAGCCCUACAUGCUUUACGCCCUCUUCCCAUGAAGGGUUGUGCUCCUGGAUGUCAAUGAACUUCUCCAGCUACGGGCAGAGCCAAACCACAUACCCUCAUAGUUACAUUUCAGCAUCCUAUUAGUCCACGUCAGCUCUUACUAUAACUCAUGCUGCCACUAUCAGAUGCUGAAAUCACAGCUGUAUGACAUCUGUACCUCUGAAGCCUUUUGAGCAGAAAAGACAUCAGAAAACACACCACCAUAGGAAGCCUGGAUCAUUCCUCACCAGCUGAACCUUUACAAGAAGUCUUAAAACGCCUGGACCUUUGUGUAUUAUCCAGCAACAGAGGCUCUGUGGCAUCCGAAUGAACUUAAUUAACUUCGCAACAGUAAAGUAUUUUAGCAGGUACCUCCUUUGGAUUGAGUGAGACAAGUAACAAGCUUAAAAUAAGGGUGCAGCUCCAUGGUAUGGUUUCUCCAGCGGCUGCAGGAGUUGUUUGGGAAAUGUUUGCUCCUAGCUGCUUUUAAACCAUGUUCUUUCCACCUUUAGCCAAGUCUCAUGCCUGGCUGCAUCAGCAGAGUGAGAAGACCAUGUAUGCAGGGUGGGAACCUGGUGCACAGGAACAGGAUCCCCCAGAUGGACUUUCCUUCCCUGCAAAACUGUGAGAGGGAGCUACACCUUAACACACACAGCUGCUGAGAGCGCAUGGUCACGGUGAUUUUAGCUGGUACAAGACCAGAAAAUACAGGUGAUUUUUGUACAUUUAAAAGGGAAAAAUAGUCUCUCCAUUCAAGGGAGGGCAACUAGACCAGAGACCUGAGCAAAACAAACCAAAGCAGUGCACUGCAGUUUAAAAGAGGCUUUAGAAAUGCUUAAUCCAUGCUGACUGCCCGAAGAAAUGUACUUUAGGGAUUUAUGGAGUGUGUAGUCCAAGAGCAUCAGCGAGCAUUGCCCAGAACCCCUGUGCAAAUGUUCUGAGGAGCCCUCCCGGAGUCAAAGGGUGGCCCUGGGAGUGCACAAGAGCAGGCUGAGCCACAGUGUCCCCGAGCAGUGCUCCUCACCCCGGGCAUGGGUGAGAUGGAGCACCCAUGCUGGGUUGUCCUGGCUCUGCAGCACACAUGGGGUAUCCAUCCUCUGGCUGCUCUGCUCGCAGCUCUGCAGCGGGAACAGAGUUUCCCAAGUGAUGAUUUGCAAAAGGGAGAAAUAAAACAAUCCAAUAAACCUUUACCUUCCCGCUGCUGAGCUAGGCUGCAGAGACUUGCAAGUGACUUCAGAUGAUGUCUCAUAACAGGCAAAAAAAAAAAAAAAAAAAAAAAAAAAAAAAAAAAAAAAAAGAAAAAGAAAAAUUGAAAAAAAAUAAAAUAAGAGGAAAUUUCUCAAAGGAAAAGGUACAGCUCCAUGUGUUGUUGUAGCAGGGGGAAGAGGCUGGCGUGUAUGAAGCCUGUUCCUCCAGCUACACAGACUGUCCAGAGGAAAGGAUGCUCUUGGGCUUUUUAACUCCUGCAAGAUUUAAGGUCCUGAGCACUGAAGUUAAUAUAAUAAUUUACCAGAGCUGAGAAACCUCUCAGGAUUAUGGGAGAAAAGCAGGUAACUACAGCAGGAGAAGCCAUGCAUCUCCUCUUCUAUGGUGUCCACCUACUAAGUAGCACCUUCUUUCCCCAUUUCACCUGCCCUGUUGUUACAUCCUGUACAAAAACUUCACCAGGUACAGAUAUCAGGAGGGCUAUGAACACACAAAGCUGCCCUAAAAGCUGCAUCUCUGCCCCAGUCCAUGCUAUAUAACUUGAAAAAGAAACAAUACAAAGUCCUCAAAUAGCCACUGCAGGCCUCUCCAGGGAGGGAGACGUUGGAUGGCAUUUCCUUAAAUUAGGGGAUGUGUGAGUUACCCAGCACUCCAGUAUAAUGUGAUGUGGAAGGCAUUGAUGAAGCCUGUUUUCCAUACUGUGGCACUUUUAAGACAGCAGCAACUGAAGCAGCAAGCAGCAUAGGCUGACACUUCACAUUUUUAGUGAACAGUCUGGCAUUACAAUGGCAUUUAGAAGUACCAUUCAAGAAUAGGAUUUCUCUGUGUCAUUGGGAGGGAAACACGAGGUAAAGAGCUCUCCAAGGAAUGUCAGCCCUAUUGCACAGGUGUGCAUCACACAGGGGGUUUUUGUAGGAGUGCUGGGCUGCUUUUUGCUCCCCGAUUUUAUAAAGAAAAAUCUUGGCUUAAUGCAGCAGGGAUUAGAUAGUGUCAUCCUGAAUAUGGCUUAAUGCAGCAGGGAUUAGAUAGUGUCAUCCUGAAUAUGGGCAUCGGACAGAUUUUCAUCCAUGCUGCUGGCUCACACACCUUCCCUGUUAGCUAGUAAAAAUUAAAACAAGAAUAGAGCAUUAAGUGUCUUUGGAACAAGAUUGACUACAUUGUUUUUCUUUAAUGACAGCACAAAUCAGUCACAAUGAAAGUUAGAAAUACAGUAAAUAUAUCUGUGCUUAGUGUCCCUCAUCAUCACACAUCCUUGCUUCUAAAUGCUACAAUCCCUAGGAUCUGAGCAACAGCUUUUAUUGGAGUUUGUGGUAGGCUGUGCAAAUGUAUAACACGGGCAAAAUUUCUUCCUAAGGCCCAUCUCUGGGAUCUGCUUGAAGAUGCUGAACUUCCCAGCUCAUCUUUGGAUGUAUGUUACUGUUCUAAAGCGUCUUCUGCAGUCUAACACAUUUCAAUUGCUGCACUUAAAGCCAGUGCUUUAGGAGACAAAUGUUCCCAGCAAUUACCCUUUUAUUUAUUGUUUUAUUUCUCCUGUGCGUGUGAGUGUGCACAUAUGCAUGCAUAUAGGAGCUCUGCAGACUUUACAAAGUCAGCAGCCGUGGAUGGGCCAACCUUGACAUGAGGACUACUGCCAGGUAUCACUGAAUAGCAGUCCCACCAUUUGUUCAAGUUCAGGCCAGCUGUGCACAGCCAAGAAAAUGACCAUCUCAUCUAGAAAAUGUGUAAGAGGGGAGGUAUAGAAAGGCAACCACAAAGGCACACUAAAUGAAGCCAAACAGCCAUGGUACUUCUCUGGGAAGAGAAAGGCAAGUAUUUCACCAUAAGUUAGGACAGGAGCAUGGGCUGGACUAUACGUGGUAAGAAACAUCAGUGAAUUCUAAUGAGUUACUUACUCAGAAGAGCACUGGGAAACUUGGGAAAAGAUGCAGCAUCUGGGGGUGGGGGAAGAAGAAAAGUUUCAAGAUAUAAGAAAACAACCUUCUUCAGCCCAGCCACUGUUCCAGCUCACUUCUGUCCUUGCAGAAGCAACAGGAGAGGAUAUCGAAGGAGAGCAGAUAGGACUGGCCAUUUUCUGCAGCUCCUUACCCUGACACUUCCUCAGCAUUCAGGCACUGGAUUACAGAGGUUAGAGGGGAUGCUCCUGCCUGGUCCUUUCAGUUCUCCAUCACACUAAAAGACACUACACUUAAACAUCAGGUCAGAUCACAAUGGGUGCAAAGACUGAGGGGUGCCUUGCAAGGGAGGAGUGUGAUUUGCAACAGCUGAGCAUUAAGUUGCAGGAGGCAAAGCACUUACGUGCAGGCUCAGUGUUAAGCACACAGUGGUGCAGGGUGGUCCCUCUCCUGCAGUGCGGCAGACGGGCUUUGAUAGUUGUUUUCCUGCCAGUGGAACCUCAAUACUAGCAAACAGGAGACAGCAGAAUCAAUAGCAAAAGCAUACUCACAUAGUUCUCCUUAUUUAAGGAGAAACAGAAGUGGCAAUGAAAGAUGUCCGGUGAUGACAGGCAAACAACAAAAACAGAAAUGAAAAUAAAAAUCAGAGAUUUUAGAAGUAGCGAGACAAGAAUAAAGUGAUGUUCCUCUACCAGGCACCUGUGUACCACUGGCUCCACCCUCCUGUAAGCAGUUUAGAGACACCAGUUAUGGCCCUGAGCCUUGGCUGGGACAGCAGGCAUGGAGCUGAGUAAAGAGCUGCAGGAACAUCCAUCACUGCUGCCUCAGAGGAGCAACAGGCUGGAACUCUUUGAACAAAAACCCCAACUGCAUCCGCUAUCUGGGAUGAGUUCUCAAAAGGGAAGAGGCAGUGAAUGGGUGGGCGGUAAGACAGCUAUCACUCAGGGAUGUGCAGUUUUGGGGGGGGUGGCCGAAGUUGGGCACUGGGAUACUCUGGAUGGGUGACACACAGGACAGAGUACAGGAAAUGGCUGAAAUGGGUCUGGUUUGCCUUUUUAAAUGAAAGCAAAGAGGUCCGCACUGUCAAAAGUCUUUUUCUGACUGGCAAAUCAAAGCAGACAACUUCUCGCCUUUUAUCAGCUCACUAAACUGGCAGUCCCUGGCGUCAGUCGGUCUGACUGAUCCUAGAGGGGAGGCAGCCGGGAACCCAAGAGGGACAUAAGCCUCGGUGCGCCAGCCUAAGCGAACAGUGAACAGCUCUGAGAUGGAGACAGCUUCAGGCAGACGGUUGGGGAUACUCAUAGGCUACCAAGUUUUCAUUUUGGUCUGGAUCAGCUUUAUUCAAUCAUGACUAAGGCAUCUACCUGUUUUUCUAAAGGCAGGCAAGGCACCCAGUGCAUCUCUCUGCCUGGGUUGUGGGUGCUGGGACUGUACGUGAGGCCUUUCUCUGCUGCAACAACAUUUGUCCUUCCCCACAGGGGUAGGAUUGUUUUUAUUAGUUUUCUGAUAAUACCUGGCACUACAGAGAAAUAGAGACUUGUUAUUGCAGUCUCAGAGCCUGAACCAACAUCGUAUGAAUGAAGGACAGAAAAGGCAAUGUGAAUCACUUAGUGACCGCAGAGUUCAGCAUGCCUAUCGCUUCCUUUUCAAGGAUGGCUUUGUUAUUGCAAAAACACGUGUAAAGCAUCAUACAGCAGCUCAGUAAUGCUGCUGUCACAGCAAAUUCAUUUUCUGCAGAAGAGAGGAAGAGAACAGCAGAGUUACAUACACUUGCAACCAAAUCUGCCCCUGGUUAUCACUUCUGCCAUAGCAAGAGCUGACAUCCUGCCUGCUAAGAACAUUAUCAGACCGAUGACAUGGAGAAUAUUGUUGUUGAACAGCCUAUUUUCAGCCAUCUUCACGGGGAGGGCAUUUUAUAAACAACAUGUUGGGGCUUUAACAGAACUAAAUACAAAUAACCUGAACUUUCCAUUGACACCAAUUUUAAGAUUAAAAUUCCUGAGUGCCAGCUCCCUGACAGAGAUGCUGGCCGGGCAGUCCUGCUGCUCCCCAUUGAGUCCAGAGCCACUUCACUGCUACCCACAUACUUGCGUGCAGCCAAAGAGCCCUGCGAAGCCAAAGAACCUGAAUUCACAUUGACAGUAACAGAGUUUGGUGUUUAGCCAGCUAAUAUUCUAAUUAUUUUACACUAAGCUUCCAUAUUCUUCACUGUUGGAUCAAAAGACCCUCAAAGACUAAGGUACCAGCACUUCUGCCCAUUUGAUAAAGAGCCGACAAAGCUCACACCGCUGUUUUGCAGGCACUAAAAGCUACACAACCAUUGUGUUAGCAGCUAGAACUUUUGAUACCCAAGAGCAAUAAGUAUUUGGCAAAGCAGAUUACUUUUAAAAUUAUCAUACUUUUUAGGAAAACAAAACAAGCCCCUAAAAAAACGAACCAAAAACCCGCCCCCCGAUUUUCCACAGACCAAAGUAAAAUGAUAACUGUCCCAGUGCAGUGAAGCCCAAAUGACUCAUUCGACUGAACCAGGAAUUGGUGCUGCGAGAUAUGAUUGUUUUACCUUAUCUGUGCCCAUUUCCUAAUGUGGAAAGAAUGAGAAGCCCAUGACAAGUGAAUUCAGCGUUAUUCAUAAAUUAUAUCAGGAUACAGCUGGGUAUUAUGCGAAACUCUACAGCACCAAAAUUCACGGAGAUUAUUGCAAGGAGCGGAUCUACUCUGGCAGAAGUGGGUUCAGCCUCAGGUUUUAAGUGAAGAGAUGGAUAAUAUUAUCUGUGAGCAUCUCCCUCAUUCUGGAGAACACGGUGAGAAUUCCUCUCGGUAUUUGAGAGCAUGUAUGGAGAUCUGCAUUCAUACCGUAAGACAGAGGAGAAAAAACACUCUCUGUAUCCUGGUGACAGUUUCUGCAUGUUUUCUAAAGCAUUAUUUUAAUAAAAAGGUCAGGUCUAUCA